UACAGAGGGUGCAAGCGUUAAUCGGAAUUACUGGGCGUAAAGCGCACGUAGGUGGGUUAGAAAGUUGGAUGUGAAAGCCCUGGGCUUAACCUGGGAACUGCAUUCAAGACUAUUAGCCUAGAGUACAGGAGAGGGAAGUGGAAUUUCCGGUGUAGUGGUGAAAUACGUAGAUAUCGGAAGGAACACCAAUGGCGAAGGCAACUUCCUGGACUGAUACUGACACUGAGGUGCGAAAGCGUGGGGAGCAAACAGG
RNAcentral lists this ribosomal RNA (253 nucleotides) under uncultured bacterium. Its description in RNAcentral is "partial 16S ribosomal RNA". It matches the Rfam family "Bacterial small subunit ribosomal RNA", at positions 524 to 776 of the family's 1533-position model. The record is from RNAcentral.